This 497-nucleotide ribosomal RNA is filed under the name uncultured bacterium. Its description in RNAcentral is "partial 16S ribosomal RNA". It matches the Rfam family "Bacterial small subunit ribosomal RNA", at positions 28 to 507 of the family's 1533-position model. The record is from RNAcentral.
GACGAACGCUGGCGGCGUGCCUAAUACAUGCAAGUUGAGCGCUGAAGGUUGGUACUUGUACCAACUGGAUGAGCAGCGAACGGGUGAGUAACGCGUGGGGAAUCUGCCUUUGAGCGGGGGACAACAUUUGGAAACGAAUGCUAAUACCGCAUAAAAACUUUAAACACAAGUUUUAAGUUUGAAAGAUGCAAUUGCAUCACUCAAAGAUGAUCCCGCGUUGUAUUAGCUAGUUGGUGAGGUAAAGGCUCACCAAGGCGAUGAUACAUAGCCGACCUGAGAGGGUGAUCGGCCACCUUGGGACUGAGACACGGCCCAAACUCCUACGGGAGGCAGCAGUAGGGAAUCUUCGGCAAUGGACGAAAGUCUGAACGAGCAACGCCGCGUGAGUGAAGAAGGUUUUCGGAUCGUAAAACUCUGUUGGUAGGGAAGAACGUUGGUGAGAGUGGAAAGCUCAGCAAGUGACGGUAACUACCCAGAAAGGGACGGCUAACUACGUG